Penaeus monodon (black tiger shrimp) is the source of this 302-nucleotide long non-coding RNA. RefSeq lists it as uncharacterized. The record is from RefSeq and is a predicted model, not a curated record. The transcript is spliced from 3 exons. NCBI's taxonomy places the organism in Eukaryota, Metazoa, Arthropoda, Malacostraca, Decapoda, Penaeidae.
CGGAGAUCGACUUUGGCAAAAUGAAGUUCGGUCACUUUUUGAUGCUCGUGUUCACCCUGCUGGCUCUGGUGUUCACGGGAACAGCUGACCCGGAGCCUGGCGGGAAGUUCGGAUUUAAGGGCCAUAGAGGAGGCCACCAUGGAGGGUUCAGGGGUGGCUUCAAGAAACCAUUUAAAUUUAAAGGCUGAUGACUUACCGGGCAUCCAUCGAGACUCCAGGCAACAACGGCAAAGAAUAUAUGAAAUUUCCAUUCUUGGAUUUUCGUCAAAUUAAAAUGAGGUAGAUUAAAUGUGCAAAUUGUA